RNAcentral lists this long non-coding RNA (547 nucleotides) under Coturnix japonica (Japanese quail). RNAcentral describes it as "lncRNA (ENSCJPG00005019444.1)". Lineage: Eukaryota; Metazoa; Chordata; Aves; Galliformes; Phasianidae. The record is from RNAcentral.
UUUGUUAAUGUGCAAGAAAAUUUGUACUGUCCCAUAAUUAUUCCUACAACUGACAAACCCCACAGGGAGUGUACAAAGAAUUAAAAUCAUUUCUGGAGACUAGACCACGUGCAGAAGAAAAAAAGUCACCUUCAUUGUUUUACAGUUCUUCAAGCCAGAUGUUCCAUAGGACAAAGGUGUUAUAUCUUCAUGUGAUCAUCCUCUGCACAAUAUUGCUCAUAAAAUGCUUCACAGUGCUACACAAAUAAACAUCUCAUCCUUCUGAGGGUUAAUUUGGGAUGUGUACUCCUUUCAUUCUAAGUCAACAACAAACAAAAUCUAUCUGAAAGGGUUAUUAAGAGGGCAUGGAAGCAAUAUUCUGCAGAAAGGGAAUUAACAGCAGUGGAAACAUUAAGCUGCUGUACUCCCAAAAGAAGACAAGAAUUUGAAAAUCACUCUGAAACUCAAUAACGAAAAAGGAGAGUAAUGUGAGAAUCUCUGCCAUAAUGAACUUCUGUCUAUUCUUCUGUAGUGCAUGCACUACUAUUUCAUGGCUGUUUACUACAAC